RNAcentral lists this ribosomal RNA (648 nucleotides) under uncultured Bacteroidales bacterium. Its description in RNAcentral is "bacterial SSU rRNA". It matches the Rfam family "Bacterial small subunit ribosomal RNA", at positions 71 to 715 of the family's 1533-position model. The record is from RNAcentral. Lineage: Bacteria; Pseudomonadati; Bacteroidota; Bacteroidia; Bacteroidales.
AUAAAGUAGCAAUACUUUGGUGGCGACCGGCGCACGGGUGAGUAACGCGUAUGCAACCCACUUAUCAGAGGGGAAUAACCCGGCGAAAGUCGGACUAAUACCGCAUAAAACAGGGACACCGCAUGGUGAUAUUUGUUAAAGAAAUUCGCUGAUAGAUGGGCAUGCGUUCCAUUAGGUAGUUGGUGAGGUAACGGCUCACCAAGCCGACGAUGGAUAGGGGAACUGAGAGGUUGGUCCCCCACACUGGUACUGAGACACGGACCAGACUCCUACGGGAGGCAGCAGUGAGGAAUAUUGGUCAAUGGGCGAGAGCCUGAACCAGCCAAGUCGCGUGAAGGAAGAAGGAUCUAUGGUUCGUAAACUUCUUUUGCAGGGGAAUAAAGUGCAGGACGUGUCCUGUUUUGUAUGUACCCUGAGAAUAAGGAUCGGCUAACUCCGUGCCAGCAGCCGCGGUAAUACGGAGGAUCCGAGCGUUAUCCGGAUUUAUUGGGUUUAAAGGGUGCGUAGGUGGUUUGAUAAGUCAGCGGUGAAAGUUUGCAGCUUAACUGUAAAAAUGCCGUUGAAACUGUCGGACUUGAGUGUAAAUGAGGUAGGCGGAAUGCGUGGUGUAGCGGUGAAAUGCUUAGAUAUCACGAAGAACUCCGAUUG